This 64-nucleotide transfer RNA is filed under the name Desmognathus aeneus. Its description in RNAcentral is "tRNA-Cys". Lineage: Eukaryota; Metazoa; Chordata; Amphibia; Caudata; Plethodontidae. The record is from RNAcentral.
GCCUUGUGGUGUACAGCACAUAAAAUUGCAAAUUUUAAAGAGUGGAAUGAUUCCUCCGGGGCUU